Molecule: ribosomal RNA, 676 nt
Filed under: uncultured Bacteroidales bacterium
Lineage: Bacteria; Pseudomonadati; Bacteroidota; Bacteroidia; Bacteroidales
Description: bacterial SSU rRNA
Rfam family: Bacterial small subunit ribosomal RNA
Source: RNAcentral
AGUCGAGGGGCAUCAGUUUGGUUUGCUUGCAAACCAAAGCUGGCGACCGGCGCACGGGUGAGUAACACGUAUCCAACCUGCCUCAUACUCGGGGAUAGCCUUUCGAAAGAAAGAUUAAUAUCCGAUAGCAUAUAUUUCCCGCAUGGGUUUUAUAUUAAAGAAAUUCGGUAUGAGAUGGGGAUGCGUUCCAUUAGUUUGUUGGCGGGGUAACGGCCCACCAAGACUACGAUGGAUAGGGGUUCUGAGAGGAAGGUCCCCCACAUUGGAACUGAGACACGGUCCAAACUCCUACGGGAGGCAGCAGUGAGGAAUAUUGGUCAAUGGACGCGAGUCUGAACCAGCCAAGUAGCGUGAAGGAUGACUGCCCUAUGGGUUGUAAACUUCUUUUAUAUGGGAAUAAAGUGGUCCACGUGUGGAUUUUUGUAUGUACCAUAUGAAUAAGGAUCGGCUAACUCCGUGCCAGCAGCCGCGGUAAUACGGAGGAUCCGAGCGUUAUCCGGAUUUAUUGGGUUUAAAGGGAGCGUAGGCGGAUUGUUAAGUCAGUUGUGAAAGUUUGCGGCUCAACCGUAAAAUUGCAGUUGAUACUGGCAGUCUUGAGUGCAGUAGAGGUGGGCGGAAUUCGUGGUGUAGCGGUGAAAUGCUUAGAUAUCACGAAGAACUCCGAUUGCGAAGGCAG